GAUGAACGCUGGCGGCGUGCCUAAUACAUGCAAGUCGAGCGAACAGAUGAGGAGCUUGCUCCUCUGACGUUAGCGGCGGACGGGUGAGUAACACGUGGAUAACCUACCUAUAAGACUGGGAUAACUUCGGGAAACCGGAGCUAAUACCGGAUAAUAUAUUGAACCGCAUGGUUCAAUAGUGAAAGACGGUUUUGCUGUCACUUAUAGCUGGAUCCGCGCCGCAUUAGCUAGUUGGUAAGGUAACGGCUUACCAAGGCAACGAUGCGUAGCCGACCUGAGAGGGUGAUCGGCCACACUGGAACUGAGACACGGUCCAGACUCCUACGGGAGGCAGCAGUAGGGAAUCUUACGCAAAGGGCGAAAGCCUGACGGAGCAACGCCGCGUGAGUGAUGAAGGUCUUCGGAUCGUAAAACUCUGUUAUUAGGGAAGAACAAAUGUGUAAGUAACUAUGCACGUCUUGACGGUACCUAAUCAGAAAGCCACGGCUAACUACGUG
This 497-nucleotide ribosomal RNA is filed under the name uncultured bacterium. RNAcentral describes it as "partial 16S ribosomal RNA". It matches the Rfam family "Bacterial small subunit ribosomal RNA", at positions 28 to 507 of the family's 1533-position model. The record is from RNAcentral.